Molecule: long non-coding RNA, 1165 nt
Filed under: Equus caballus (horse)
Lineage: Eukaryota; Metazoa; Chordata; Mammalia; Perissodactyla; Equidae
Description: lncRNA (ENSECAG00000038659.3)
Source: RNAcentral
GCUCCUUUGAUGGCAGUCACCAGGAGCCACGGCAACAGGAAGCCACCUUCACAAUGCUUCUUUUCAGGUGGCAGACCUCACCAAAAUGAACCAAACCUGAAGAGGAGGAAAAUGGCUGACACCAACAGCAGCUAUGAGGAUGUAUUUGUGAGGACUUCUGAAAGAGCCGCCAGGAAAUCCCAGAAAUGCAAGGGGACCAGGAGACAGUGGCAGCAAGGAGGGAGGGAAUACAGAAGAGAGCGGCAAGGGUUAAUGUGAAGAUUAAUGAGAUCAUUGGGGAUGGACUGGAGUGCUGUUUACACAUAGGAUGUUAUAAGAAGGAAAAAGGAAAUUACAAGAAAAAAAGACGUUAACAAACAAGAGCCCAGCCCAGCGAGCCCUCCAUGGUCCAAUACCCAGAUCUUUGUGACAGAUUCGAAUUGCUGGCAGUCUCCUCAAGGAGAGAAAGAAGCCAAGCCCUAUACAGCCUUAUCAGAGCACGCAAGGGAAACCAACGGAAAGAAUGCCAAAAUCAGAGGCUGUGCCAUGCACUCGCUUAACAAAUAAAUAUUGAAUACCUACUAUGUGCCAGACACUGUUCUAGAUGCUGUGAAUAAAGCAAUGAACAAAUGAUAAGGUCUCUGCUCAAGUUGAGCUUAUAUUUUAGUGGGGAAAGACAGACAAAAUAUUUAAAUGAGUACAAUAAAUACCAUGAUAGAUGACAAAGAAAAACAAGUAGAGAAAGGAUUAGAAAAGUUGAGUUUUAUGAUUUUUAAAUAGGGUAUUCAGGGAAGCUGCUACAGAAGAUAUAAAGAGCUGAAAGGAACUGAGUCAAAAGGAUAUUGGUGAGAGGUCCAGAAAGAGCCUGCAAAGACUCGAAGGCAAGAGAAUGGCUGUUUAGUCCAAGGAAUAGCAAGGCGCCCAGUGUGGCUGGGGUAGAGGGAUCAAAGAGGAAGAGGAAGUAAGUCAGACAGGGCGCCAUAUCAUGGAUGAUAUUGUGUCUGGCUUUCACUUGGCAAGGAGUAGGAAAUCAUUGGAGGGUUUUGAGCAGAGUGAGAUUAUCUGAUUUACACUUUAAUAAGAUCACUCUGGUUUCUGUGUUUAGCAGGAAGACAAGGGCAGAAGCAAAAGGAUGAGUUGGGAGUCCAUUGCCACUUUCCACUGAUAGGAAAGCUGGAGCAUUGAG